UUCGCGGAUCCCACGGUGACCAGUCAUGGUCAAAUAUUUGCUCCUACUUCCUCCAUCUUAUUUGCAUCUCUUGGUGUGAAUAACAAAUUUGUUACAUUGCAAAUUGCGCGCUAAGUCCACAUCCCACAAUCUCCCGGAGACGGUCAACGGGCAGCCAAAUAAAUGUGAUGCAAAUCACUUCCAACAUGGAUUUUGAUUGGAUUUACAGUGAUCUCUGUUUGGAUGUACCAGUGCUAUUAAUAACCGCGAUUUACCAUAACCAGACGCAAGAUUCAAGUGCAGGCAUGGAGAAGUUCACCAGAUUAGUUGACUCCACUAUAAUGAUAACCCAAAAAUAGAUCCUUUUUCGAGUGCAUUUGCUGCAGUUGGCUUCAUCUGCUCUGCACGAUAUUGAUUCUUGGUUUCAUAUUAGGGGUGUUUGUUUAUCAUGUUUAGGGAGUUUUUUAACCGUUGAAAUUCUUAUUUAUUGAGAAAAAAGGAGAUUUUUUAAAAAAAGAAAAAAUGAGUGAUUGUGCUAGUUGGGUAAGAUUAAGGACUCUAUGCAUAAAACGACUUCUUUUGAGAAAACUUUUACAGUUUACAUGACUUUUUCUUUAAGAAAAAAUCCUAGAAUUGUCUAACUAAUAAGAAUAUUUGUUGAAAAGUUGAAAAAAAUUAAGAAAAGGAGUAUUUUGCAAAAAAUCCUUAAUGUUACCCAAGCAGCACAAUAUAAUUUUUCAAUAUCAACAUUCAGGAACCAAGAAUCAAAAAUUACGCUAUGUAUGAAUCAAAAGGACCCCAAACUCUCCCACGCGUGUUUCUGUUUUUUUUAGAGAAAAAAAAAUGUGUGACUUUCUCACCUUUAGUGUCAACAAGAAAAGAAGUCAGAAAUGCGAAAAGGAAGAGAAAUUGGCCCCUAUAAAAAUAUUCCCACCGCCCAAUCGUCUUAUACACGGAGGACGGUACCUUUUGUCCCCGUGGGUGCGGGUGUAAAAAAUUGCCUGCGAUUGUGAUUUAAUGCCACCAAGAUCGGAUCAUUGCGAACAACAUUUUCGAUUCAUCGCGCACACCUUCCUUUGCCAGAGCGCUAUUUUGUCUGCAAAUGGACAAUGGAGAGAGGGAUCCCAGAGAAAAAUACAAAGGAUCAGAGGUUGAUUUUGUGCUGGAAUUUUUGAUUUCGACGGGAGAUUUGCACUGCGCGCGUUUUUUAUAUACAGACCCUGAAUUUUUAUACCUGACUUCCCAUUGCCACGAAUGUGCACCGUCUUCUGAAUUAUGUCCCAAACGGACAUCAUGAUAAAUGCAAGUUUUGCCACAAGAAAAGGCAUCCCUCUCCACAUGGCUACAAUUCACAAGUCUCCUUUGGGAGAAGUUUAUUUAGCGAUCCGGGGCGGUGAAGAUCGCAUUUUCAUAUUUCUUCCUCUCAGGGUCUUUCUUUACUUUUUUUUUUACCUUCACCUAAAUGUUGCACAACCGACCCAUCCCCCAUUUGAUUGACUCUCAGAUUCACGAGAGAUUCUCUAUUUUUUAAUCUAAAAAAUACAAAAAAAAAUAUACGAAAGUGUUCGAUGUUUUCUUAAGCGAUUUUUUUGUGCUGACCCCUCGAAGAUGGAUGGUCAAUUUUCUUAUAAAACUUUAAGAAAAGGGCAAGAAAAAAAACGGUAUAAAAUGUGAUUUCUUUUGCGAUUGAAAAACCCAUACCAUUUAUCUUGAGGAGAAGAAGGGCAAAGAAAUAUAAAUGUGGGACGUUCGUAGCGUUCUUGUUUGCCAAAGGACAAAUAAGGGAUGGAAAGGGCAAGUGAAAAUGAUAUCUUGCCAAGACGAUCUUUGCAACACACAAAACUUUUGGCCCUUUUUGUGCUACAAACAUUCACUAAUUGAUGCAUUUUAUUCCCUUUCUCACCAUCUUCGCGGAGGACUUAAAAGUUUACAGCGAAGAGAGUGAUUUUAGGGGCUGUAAAUUGGUUUAAAUAAAGUCGUUUUUGCA
Lutzomyia longipalpis is the source of this 1966-nucleotide long non-coding RNA. RefSeq lists it as uncharacterized. NCBI's taxonomy places the organism in Eukaryota, Metazoa, Arthropoda, Insecta, Diptera, Psychodidae. The record is from RefSeq and is a predicted model, not a curated record. The transcript has 2 exons.